This 396-nucleotide ribosomal RNA is filed under the name uncultured bacterium. RNAcentral describes it as "bacterial SSU rRNA". It matches the Rfam family "Bacterial small subunit ribosomal RNA", at positions 97 to 507 of the family's 1533-position model. The record is from RNAcentral.
GGCGACGGGUGAGUAAUGUAUGAGCAACCUGCCUUUCGAGAGGGGGACAACAGUUGGAAACGACUGCUAAUACCGCAUAAUGUACCAGGGGGCAUCCCUUUGGUACCAAGGAGCAAUCCGCUGAAAGAUGGGCUCAUAUCUGAUUAGCUAGUUGGUGAGGUAACGGCUCACCAAGGCUGCGAUCAGUAGCCGGACUGAGAGGUUUGAACGGCCACAUUGGGACUGAGAUACGGCCCAGACUCCUACGGGAGGCAGCAGUGGGGAAUAUUGGGCAAUGGGCGAAAGCCUGACCCAGCAACGCCGCGUGAAGGAAGAAGGUCUUCGGAUUGUAAACUUCUUUUAUGAGGGACGAAGAACGUGACGGUACCUCAUGAAUAAGCCACGGCUAACUACGUG